Molecule: ribosomal RNA, 320 nt
Filed under: uncultured eukaryote
Lineage: Eukaryota
Description: partial 18S ribosomal RNA
Rfam family: Eukaryotic small subunit ribosomal RNA
Source: RNAcentral
CCCUUAGAUGUUCUGGGCCGCACGCGCGCUACACUGACGAAUGCAACGAGCUUAUAACCUUGGCCGAAAGGUCUGGGUAAUCUCCAAAUUUCGUCGUGAUGGGGAUAGAUUAUUGCAAUUAUUAAUCUUCAACGAGGAAUGCCUAGUAAGCGCAAGUCAUCAGCUUGCGUUGAUUACGUCCCUGCCCUUUGUACACACCGCCCGUCGCUACUACCGAUUGAAUGGUCCGGUGAAAUCUCGGGACGGCGGCUUGGUCGCUUGCGUCCGACUGCUGAAACUUGAUUAAACCAUAUCAUUUAGAGGAAGGUGAAGUCGUAACA